This 497-nucleotide ribosomal RNA is filed under the name uncultured bacterium. RNAcentral's name for it is "partial 16S ribosomal RNA". It matches the Rfam family "Bacterial small subunit ribosomal RNA", at positions 28 to 507 of the family's 1533-position model. The record is from RNAcentral.
GAUGAACGCUGGCGGCGUGCCUAAUACAUGCAAGUCGAGCGAACGGACGAGAAGCUUGCUUCUCUGAUGUUAGCGGCGGACGGGUGAGUAACACGUGGAUAACCUACCUAUAAGACUGGGAUAACUUCGGGAAACCGGAUCUAAUACCGGAUAAUAUUUUGAACCGCAUGGUUCAAAAGUGAAAGACGGUCUUGCUGUCACUUAUAGAUGGAUCCGCGCUGCAUUAGCUAGUUGGUAAGGUAACGGCUUACCAAGGCAACGAUGCAUAGCCGACCUGAGAGGGUGAUCGGCCACACUGGAAAUGAGAGACGGUCCAGACUCCUACGGGAGGCAGCAGUAGGGAAUCUUCCGCAAUGGGCGAAAACCUGACGUAGCAACGCGGCGUGAGUGAUGAAGGUCUUCGGAUCGUAAAACUCUGUUAUUAGGGAAGAACAUAUGUGUAAGUAACUGUGCACAUCUUGACGGUACCUAAACAGAAAGCCACGGCUAACUACGUG